This 59-nucleotide transfer RNA is filed under the name Actinomycetota bacterium. RNAcentral describes it as "Actinobacteria bacterium (marine metagenome) tRNA-Val". It matches the Rfam family "tRNA", at positions 7 to 64 of the family's 71-position model. From Rfam's summary of the family: Transfer RNA (tRNA) molecules are approximately 80 nucleotides in length. Lineage: Bacteria; Bacillati; Actinomycetota. The record is from RNAcentral.
UUAGCGCAGCGGUAGCGUACUUCCUUGACAUGGAAGGGGUCACUGGUUCGAUCCCAGUA